GAUGAACGCUGGCGGCGUGCCUAAUACAUGCAAGUCGAGCGAACGGACGAGAAGCUUGCUUCUCUGAUGUUAGCGGCGGACGGGUGAGUAACACGUGGAUAACCUACCUAUAAGACUGGGAUAACUUCGGGAAACCGGAGCUAAUACCGGAUAAUAUUUUGAUCUGCAUGGUUCAAAAGUAAAAGACGGUCUUGCUGUCACUUAUAGAUGGAUCCGCGCUGCAUUAGCUAGUUGGUAAGGUAACGGCUUACCAAGGCAACGAUGCAUAGCCGACCUGAGAGGGUGAUCGGCCACACUGGAACUGAGACACGGUCCAGACUCCUACGGGAGGCAGCAGUAGGGAAUCUUCCGCAAUGGGCGAAAGCCUGACGGAGCAACGCCGCGUGAGUGAUGAAGGUCUUCGGAUCGUAAAACUCUGUUAUUAGGGAAGAACAUAUGUGUAAGUAACUGUGCACAUCUUGACGGUACCUAAUCAGAAAGCCACGGCUAACUACGUGCCAGCAGCCGCGGUAAUACGUAGGUGGCAAGCGUUAUCCGGAAUUAUUGGGCGUAAAGCGCGCGUAGGCGGUUUUUUAAGUCUGAUGUGAAAGCCCACGGCUCAACCGUGGAGGGUCAUUGGAAACUGGAAAACUUGAGUGCAGAAGAGGAAAGUGGAAUUCCAUGUGUAGCGGUGAAAUGCGCAGAGAUAUGGAGGAACACCAGUGGCGAAGGCGACUUUCUGGUCUGUAACUGACGCUGAUGUGCGAAAGCGUGGGGAUCAAACAGGAUUAGAUACACUGGUAGUCCACGCCGUAAACGAUGAGUGCUAAGUGUUAGGGGGUUUCCGCCCCUUAGUGCUGCAGCUAACGCAUUAAGCACUCCGCCUGGGGAGUACGACCGCAAGGUUGAAACUCAAAGGAAUUGACGGGGACCCGCACAAGCGGUGGAGCAUGUGGUUUAAUUCGAAGCAACGCGAAGAACCUUACCAAAUCUUGACAUCCUUUGACAACUCUAGAGAUAGAGCCUUCCCCUUCGGGGGACAAAGUGACAGGUGGUGCAUGGUUGUCGUCAGCUCGUGUCGUGAGAUGUUGGGUUAAGUCCCGCAACGAGCGCAACCCUUAAGCUUAGUUGCCAUCAUUAAGUUGGGCACUCUAAGUUGACUGCCGGUGACAAACCGGAGGAAGGUGGGGAUGACGUCAAAUCAUCAUGCCCCUUAUGAUUUGGGCUACACACGUGCUACAAUGGACAAUACAAAGGGCAGCGAAACCGCGAGGUCAAGCAAAUCCCAUAAAGUUGUUCUCAGUUCGGAUUGUAGUCUGCAACUCGACUACAUGAAGCUGGAAUCGCUAGUAAUCGUAGAUCAGCAUGCUACGGUGAAUACGUUCCCGGGUCU
RNAcentral lists this ribosomal RNA (1372 nucleotides) under uncultured bacterium. RNAcentral describes it as "bacterial SSU rRNA". It matches the Rfam family "Bacterial small subunit ribosomal RNA", at positions 28 to 1381 of the family's 1533-position model. The record is from RNAcentral.